RNAcentral lists this ribosomal RNA (494 nucleotides) under uncultured bacterium. Its description in RNAcentral is "partial 16S ribosomal RNA". It matches the Rfam family "Bacterial small subunit ribosomal RNA", at positions 28 to 505 of the family's 1533-position model. The record is from RNAcentral.
GAUGAACGCUGGCGGCGUGCCUAAUACAUGCAAGUCGAGCGAACAGACGAGGAGCUUGCUCCUCUGACGUUAGCGGCGGACGGGUGAGUAACACGUGGAUAACCUACCUAUAAGACUGGGAUAACUUCGGGAAACCGGAGCUAAUACCGGAUAAUAUAUUGAACCGCAUGGUUCAAUAGUGAAAGACGGUUUUGCUGUCACUUAUAGAUGGAUCCGCGCCGCAUUAGCUAGUUGGUAAGGUAACGGCUUACCAAGGCAACGAUGCGUAGCCGACCUGAGAGGGUGACGGCCACACUGGGAAGGGGCAACGGGCCAGACUCCUCCGGGGGGCAGAAGGAGGGAAAUUUCCGGAAUGGGCGAAAGCCUGAAGGGGCAACGCCGCGGGAGUGAAGAAGGGCUUCGGACUGUAAAACCUUUUUAUUAGGGAAAAACAAAUUGUUAAGUAACUUUGCCCCUCUUGACGGUACCCAAGCCGAAAGCCCAGGCUAACGAAC